GAUGAACGCUGGCGGCGUGCCUAAUACAUGCAAGUCGAGCGAACAGACGAGGAGCUUGCUCCUCUGACGUUAGCGGCGGACGGGUGAGUAACACGUGGAUAACCUACCUAUAAGACUGGGAUAACUUCGGGAAACCGGAGCUAAUACCGGAUAAUAUAUUGCACCGCAUGGUUCAAUAGUGAAAGACGGUUUUGCUGUCACUUAUAGAUGGAUCCGCGCCGCAUUAGCUAGUUGGUAAGGUAACGGCUUACCAAGGCGACGAUGCGUAGCCGACCUGAGAGGGUGAUCGGCCACACUGGAACUGAGACACGGUCCAGACGCCUAAGGGAGGCAGCAGUAGGGAAUCUGCCGCAAUGGGCGAAAGCUUGACGGAGCAACGCCGCGUGAGUGAUGAAGGUCUUCGGAUCGUAAAACUCUGUUAUUAGGGAAGAACAAAUGUGUAAGUAACUAUGCACGUCUUGACGGUACCUAAUCAGAAAGCCACGGCUAACUACGUG
RNAcentral lists this ribosomal RNA (497 nucleotides) under uncultured bacterium. RNAcentral describes it as "partial 16S ribosomal RNA". It matches the Rfam family "Bacterial small subunit ribosomal RNA", at positions 28 to 507 of the family's 1533-position model. The record is from RNAcentral.